This 8731-nucleotide long non-coding RNA is filed under the name Cicer arietinum (chickpea). RNAcentral describes it as "long non-coding RNA (CARI_LNC003671)". Lineage: Eukaryota; Viridiplantae; Streptophyta; Magnoliopsida; Fabales; Fabaceae. The record is from RNAcentral.
GGGUUUAGGGUUCAGGGUUUAGGGUUUAGGGUUUAGGGUUUAGGGUUUAGGGUUUACGGUUAAGGGACUAGGUCAUAUCUAGUCCUUUUUGUUUCUGAAUCAAUGUAGUUCGUCGAAUAAGUGCAUAAGUGUUACUAGAUUUUGAUUUUAGGUCAUUUUUUUUGUUGUUGUUAUGUUUCUUUCUGUCAAUUUUUGUUGUUGUCCAUUUUAGUUGUUAAUCAAUGUAGUUCAACCUAUUAGUGCAAAAUUGUCACUUAAUUUAGAAUUUUGGACGUUUUGGUAUUUGAUAUGUUUGUUUUUUUCCAUUUUAGUUGUUAUUUAUUUUAGGAUUUGGGAUUUAGGGUUUAAGAUUAAGGGUUAAGGGUCUAGGGUCUAGAUCUAUUCUCGUUCAUUUUGGUUUUAACCAAUGUAUUUCAUGAUAAAAUUAAAAGCAUAAUUCUCAAUGAAUAAAGAUUUUAGCUAAUUUUGUUGUUUAUAAGGUGGAAUCUAGUCCAUUUUGUUUCUAAAAUAGUGUAGUUCGUCUAAUAAGUGCAAAAUAUUCAAUAUAUUAUAAUUUUAGGUCAUUGUGGAAUUUGUUAUGUUUGUUGUUGUUGUACAUUUUAGUUUUUAAUCAAUGUAGUUCAUCCUAUUAGUGCUAAAUUGUCACUUGAUUUAGAUUUUAGGUUUUAGGAUUUAGGUGUUCGGUGUUUGGUUUUAGGACUUUUGUUUCAGGUUUUAGGUUUUAGGUUUUAGGUUUUAGGUUUUAGGGUUUAGUGUUUAGGGUUCAGGGUUUAGGGUUUAGGGUUUAGGGUUAAGGGUUUAGGGUUUAGGGUUUAAGGUUUAGGGUUAAGGGUUUAGGGUUUAGGGUUUAGGGUUAAGGGUCUAGGUCAUAUCUAGUCCAUUUUUUUCUGAAUCAAUGUAGUUCGUCGAAUAAGUGCAUAACUGUUACUAGAUUUUGAUUUUAGGUGAUUUUUUUUGUUGUUGUUAUGUUUCUUUCUGUCAAUUUUUUUUGUUGUCCAUUUUAUUUGUUAAUCAAUGUAGUUUAACCUAUUAGUGCAAAAGUGUCACUUGAUUUAGAUUUUAGGACGUUUUGGUUUUUUAUAUGUUUCUUUUUUUUCCGUUUUAGUUAUUAUUCAUUUUAGGGUUUGGGAUUUAGGGUUUAAGAUUAAGGGUUAAGGGUCUAGCGUCUACUUCUAUUCUAGUUCAUUUUGGUUCUUAAUAAGUGUAGUUCGUCGAAUAAGUGCAUAAGUCUCAUUGGAUUAAGAUUUUACGUUAUUUUGGUUUUUGAUAUGGUUCUUUUUGUCCAUUUUAGUUCUUAUUUAUUGUAGUUCGUCCAAUAAGUUGAAAAGUCAAAAUGCAUUAAUAUUUUAGGUCAUUUUCGUCUUUCUUAGGUUAAGGGAUUAGAGUCUAGGUUUUAGGAUUUAGGUCUUCAGUGUUCGGUUUUAGGAAUUUGGUUUUUGGUUUUUGAUUUUUGAUUUUUGGUUUUAGGGUUUAGGGUUUAGGGUAUAGGGUUUAGGGUCUAGGGUUUAGGGUUCAGGGUUCAGGGUUUAGGGUUAAGGGUUUAGGGUUUAGGGUUUAGGGUUUAGGGUUUAGGGUUUAGGGGUUAGGGUUUAGGGUUUAGGGUUUAGGGGUUAGAUAAGUGCAUAAGUGUUACUAGAUUUUGAUUUUAGGUCAUUAUUUUUGUUGUGGUUAUGUUUCUUUCUGUCAAUUUUUGUUGUUGUCCAUUUUAGUUGUUAAUCAAUGUAGUUCAACCUAUUAGUGCAAAAGUGUCACUUGAUUUAGAUUUUAGGACGUUUUGGUUUUUUAUAUGUUUCUUUUUUUUUUUUCUUUCUGUUUUAGUUAUUAUUCAUUUUAGGGUUUGGGAUUUAGGGUUUAAGAUUAAGGGUUAAGGGUCUAGGGUCUAGGUCUAUUCUAGUUCAUUUUGGUUCUUAAUAAAUGUAGUUCUUUGAAUAAGUGGAUAAGUCUCAUUGGAUUUAGAUUUUAGGUUAUUUUGGUUUUUUAUAUGUUUCUUAUUUAUUUAAGUUCGUCCAAUAAGUUGAAAAGUGUCAAUGCAUUAAUAUUCUAGGUUAAGGGAUUAGGGUUUAGUGUUUAUGGUUUAAGGUUUAGGGUUAACGAUUAAGGAUAUAGGUCUAUUAUAGACCAUUUUUCUUCUUAAUCAAUGUAGUUUGUCGAAUUAGUGCAUUAAUCUAACUGGUUUUAGAUCUUGGUUAUUUUGGUUUUUGAUAUAUUUCUUUUGGUACAAUUUCUUUCUUAUUCAUUGUAGUUCGUCCAAUAAGUACAAAAGUCAAAAUGCAUUAAUAUUUUAGGUCAUUUUGGCAUUAUUUAGGUUUAGGGAUUAGAGUCUAGGUUUUAGGAUUUAGGACUUCAGUGUUUGGUUUUAGGAUUUUGGUUUUUGGUUUUUGGUUUUAGGGUUUAGGGUUUAGCGUAUAGGGUAUAAGGUUUAGGUUUUAGGGUUUAGGGUUCAGGGUUCAGGGUUUAGGGUUUAGGGUUUAGGGUUUAUAGUUUAGGGUUUAGGGUUAAGGGUCUAGGUCAUAUCUAGUCCAUUUUGUUUCUGAAUCAAUGUAGUUCGUCGAAUAAGAAUAUAAGUUUUACUAGAUUUUGAUUUUAGGUCAUUUUUGUUGUUGUUGUUAUGUUUCUUUCUGUCAAUUUUUUUUGUUGUUGUCUAUUUGAGUUGUUAAUCAAUGUAGUUCAACCUAUUAGUUCAAAAGUGUCACUUGAUUUAGAUUUUAGGACGUUUUGGUUUUUUAUAUGUUUCUUUUUUUUUCGUUUUAGUUAUUAUUCAUUUUAGGGUUUGGGAUUUAGGGUUUAAGAAUAAGGGUUAAGGGUCUAGGGUCUUGGGUUUAGGGGUUAGGCUUUAGGGUUCAGGGUUUAGGGUUUAGGGUCUAUUAUAGACCAUUUUUCUUCUUAAUCAAUGUAUUUUGUCGAAUUAGUGCAUCAAUCUAACUGGUUUUAGAUUUUGGUUAUUUUGGUUUUUGAUAUGUUUCUUUUGGUACAAUUUAUUUCUUAUUCAUCGUAGUUCGUCCAAUAAGUACAAAAGUCAAAAUGCGUCAAUAUUUUAGGUCAUUUUGGCCUUUUUUAGGUUUAGGGACUAGAGUCUAGGUUUUAGGAUUUAGGUCUUCAGUGUUUGGUAUUUGGUUUUUGGUUUUUGGUUUUUGGUUUUUAGUUUUUGGUUUUAGGUUUUAGGUUUUAGGGUUUAGGGUUUAGGGUUUAGGGUUUAGGGUUUAGGGUUUAGGGUUUAGGGUUUAGGGUUUAGGGUUUAGGGUUUAGGGUUUAGGGUUUAGGGUUUAGGGUAUAGGGUUUAGGGUCUAGGGUUUAGGGUUCAGGGUUUAGGGUUUAGGGUUUAGGGUUUACGGUUAAGGGUCUAGGUCAUAUCUAGUCCAUUUUGUUUCUGAAUCAAUGUAGUUCGUCGAAUAAGUGCAUAAGUGUUACUAGAUUUUGAUUUUAGGUCAUUUUUUUUGUUGUUGUUAUGUUUCUUUCUGUCAAUUUUUGUUGUUGUCCAUUUUAGUUGGACCUAUUAGUGCAAAAUUGUCACUUGAUUUAGAUUUUUUGACGUUUUGGUUUUUGAUAUGUUUCUUUUUUUACAUUUUAGUUAUUAUUCAUAUUAGGGUUUGGGAUUUAGGGUUUAAGAUUAAGGGUUAAGGGUCUAGAUCUAUUCUCGUUCAUUUUGGUUUUAACCAAUGUAUUUCAUGAUAAAAUUAAAAGCAUAAUUCUCAAUGAAUAUAGAUUUUAGGUAAUUUUGUUGUUUAUAAGGUGGAAUCUAGUCCAUUUUGUUUCUAAAAUAGUGUAGUUCGUCUAAUAAGUGCAAAAGAUUCAAUAUAUUAUAAUUUUAAGUCAUUGUGGAAUUUGUUAUGUUUUUUGUUGUUGUCCAUUUUAGUUGUUAAUCAAUGUAGUUCAUCCUAUUAGUGCAAAAUUGUCACUUGAUUUAGAUUUUAGGUUUUAGGAUUUAGGUGUUCGGUGUUUGGUUUUAGGAUUUUUGUUUCAGGUUUUAGGUUUUAGGUUUUAGGUUUUAGGUUUUAGGUUUUAGGUUUUAGGGUUUAGUGUUUAGGUUCUUAAUCAAUGUAGUUCAUGUAAUAAAAACAAAAUUCUCAAUGGAUAUAGAUUUUAGCUCAUUUUGUUAUUUACUAGGUGUAUUCUAGGUCUUUUCAUUGUAGUUCGUCUAAUAAGAAUAUAAGUUAAAAUGCAUUAAUAUUUUAGGUCAUUUUGGUCUUUACUAGGUUUAAGAAUUAGGAUUUAGGUUUUAGGUUUUUAAGUUUUAGGUUUUAGUGUUAAGGGUCUAGGUCAUAUGUAGUCAAUUUUGUUUCUGAAUCAAUGUAGUUCGUCGAAUAAGUGCAUAAGUGUUACUAGAUUUUGAUUUUAGGUCAUUUUUUUUGUUGUUGUUAUGUUUCUUUCUGUCAAUUUUUGUUGUUGUCCAUUUUAGUUGUUAAUCAAUGUAGUUNNNNNNNNNNNNNNNNNNNNNNNNNNNNNNNNNNNNNNNNNNNNNNNNNNNNNNNNNNNNNNNNNNNNNNNNNNNNNNNNNNNNNNNNNNNNNNNNNNNNNNNNNNNNNNNNNNNNNNNNNNNNNNNNNNNNNNNNNNNNNNNNNNNNNNNNNNNNNNNNNNNNNNNNNNNNNNNNNNNNNNNNNNNNNNNNNNNNNNNNNNNNNNNNNNNNNNNNNNNNNNNNNNNNNNNNNNNNNNNNNNNNNNNNNNNNNNNNNNNNNNNNNNNNNNNNNNNNNNNNNNNNNNNNNNNNNNNNNNNNNNNNNNNNNNNNNNNNNNNNNNNNNNNNNNNNNNNNNNNNNNNNNNNNNNNNNNNNNNNNNNNNNNNNNNNNNNNNNNNNNNNNNNNNNNNNNNNNNNNNNNNNNNNNNNNNNNNNNNNNNNNNNNNNNNNNUAGGUUAAGGGAUUAGGGUUUAGUGUUUAUGGUUUAAGGUUUAGGGUUAACGAUUAAGGAUCUAGGUCUAUUAUAGACCAUUUUUCUUCUUAAUCAAUGUAAUUUGUCGAAUUAGUGCAUCAAUCUAACUGGUUUUAGAUGUUUGUUAUUUUGGUUUUUGAUAUGUUUCUUUUGGUACAAUUUCUUUCUUAUUCAUUGUAGUUCGUCCAAUAAGUACAAAAGUCAAAAUGCAUUAAUAUUUUAGGUCAUUUUGGCAUUUUUUAGGUUUAGGGAUUAGAGUCUAGGUUUUAGGAUUUAGGUCUUCAGUGUUUGGUUUUAGGAUUUUGGUUUUUGGUUUUUGGUUUUAGGGUUUAGGGUUUAGGGUAUAGGGUAUAGGGUUUAGGGUUUAGUGUCUAGGGUCUAGGGUCUAAGGUCUAGGGUCUAGGGUCUAGGGUCUAGGGUCUAGGGUUCAAGGUUUAGGGUUUAGGGUUUAGGGUUUAAGGUUUAGGGUUUAGGGUUUAGGGUUUAGGGUUUAGGGUCUAGGUCAUAUCUAGUCCAUUUUGUUUCUGAAUCAAUGUAGUUCGUCGAAUAAGUGCAUAAGUUUUACUAUAUUUUGAUUUUAGGUCAUUUUUGUUAUUGUUGUUAUGUUUCUUUCUGUCAAUUUUUUUUGUUGUUGUCCAUUUUAGUUGUUAAUCAAUGUAGUUCAACCUAUUAGUGCAAAAGUGUCACUUGAUUUAGAUUUUAGGACGUUUUGGUUUUUUAUAUGUUUCUUUUUUUUCCGUUUUAGUUAUUAUUCCUUUUAGGGUUUGGGAUUUAGGGUUUAAGAUUACGGGUUAAGGGUCUAGGGUCUAGGGACUAGGUCUAUUCUAGUUCAUUUUGGUUCUUAAUAAAUGUAGUUCGUCGAAUAAGUGCAUAAGUCUCAUUGGAUUAAGAUUUUAGGUUAUUUUGGUUUUUGAUAUGUUUCUAGGUCAUAUCUAGUCCAUUUUGUUUCUGAAUCAAUGUAGUUCGUCGAAUAAGUGCAUAAGUCUCAUUGGAUUAAGAUUUUAGGUUAUUUUGGUUUUUGAUAUGUUUCUAGGUCAUAUCUAGUCCAUUUUGUUUCUGAAUCAAUGUAGUUCGUCGAAUAAGUGCAUAAGUCUCAUUGGAUUAAGAUUUUAGGUUAUUUUGGUUUUUGAUAUGUUUCUAGGUCAUAUCUAGUCCAUUUUGUUUCUGAAUCAAUGUAGUUCGUCGAAUAAGUGCAUAAGUCUCAUUGGAUUAAGAUUUUAGGUUAUUUUGGUUUUUGAUAUGUUUCUAGGUCAUAUCUAGUCCAUUUUGUUUCUGAAUCAAUGUAGUUCGUCGAAUAAGUGCAUAAGUCUCAUUGGAUUAAGAUUUUAGGUUAUUUUGGUUUUUGAUAUGUUUCUAGGUCAUAUCUAGUCCAUUUUGUUUCUGAAUCAAUGUAGUUCGUCGAAUAAGUGCAUAAGUCUCAUUGGAUUAAGAUUUUAGGUUAUUUUGGUUUUUGAUAUGUUUCUAGGUCAUAUCUAGUCCAUUUUGUUUCUGAAUCAAUGUAGUUCGUCGAAUAAGUGCAUAAGUCUCAUUGGAUUAAGAUUUUAGGUUAUUUUGGUUUUUGAUAUGUUUCUAGGUCAUAUCUAGUCCAUUUUGUUUCUGAAUCAAUGUAGUUCGUCGAAUAAGUGCAUAAGUCUCAUUGGAUUAAGAUUUUAGGUUAUUUUGGUUUUUGAUAUGUUUCUAGGUCAUAUCUAGUCCAUUUUGUUUCUGAAUCAAUGUAGUUCGUCGAAUAAGUGCAUAAGUCUCAUUGGAUUAAGAUUUUAGGUUAUUUUGGUUUUUGAUAUGUUUCUAGGUCAUAUCUAGUCCAUUUUGUUUCUGAAUCAAUGUAGUUCGUCGAAUAAGUGCAUAAGUCUCAUUGGAUUAAGAUUUUAGGUUAUUUUGGUUUUUGAUAUGUUUCUAGGUCAUAUCUAGUCCAUUUUGUUUCUGAAUCAAUGUAGUUCGUCGAAUAAGUGCAUAAGUCUCAUUGGAUUAAGAUUUUAGGUUAUUUUGGUUUUUGAUAUGUUUCUAGGUCAUAUCUAGUCCAUUUUGUUUCUGAAUCAAUGUAGUUCGUCGAAUAAGUGCAUAAGUCUCAUUGGAUUAAGAUUUUAGGUUAUUUUGGUUUUUGAUAUGUUUCUAGGUCAUAUCUAGUCCAUUUUGUUUCUGAAUCAAUGUAGUUCGUCGAAUAAGUGCAUAAGUCUCAUUGGAUUAAGAUUUUAGGUUAUUUUGGUUUUUGAUAUGUUUCUAGGUCAUAUCUAGUCCAUUUUGUUUCUGAAUCAAUGUAGUUCGUCGAAUAAGUGCAUAAGUCUCAUUGGAUUAAGAUUUUAGGUUAUUUUGGUUUUUGAUAUGUUUCUAGGUCAUAUCUAGUCCAUUUUGUUUCUGAAUCAAUGUAGUUCGUCGAAUAAGUGCAUAAGUCUCAUUGGAUUAAGAUUUUAGGUUAUUUUGGUUUUUGAUAUGUUUCUAGGUCAUAUCUAGUCCAUUUUGUUUCUGAAUCAAUGUAGUUCGUCGAAUAAGUGCAUAAGUCUCAUUGGAUUAAGAUUUUAGGUUAUUUUGGUUUUUGAUAUGUUUCUAGGUCAUAUCUAGUCCAUUUUGUUUCUGAAUCAAUGUAGUUCGUCGAAUAAGUGCAUAAGUCUCAUUGGAUUAAGAUUUUAGGUUAUUUUGGUUUUUGAUAUGUUUCUAGGUCAUAUCUAGUCCAUUUUGUUUCUGAAUCAAUGUAGUUCGUCGAAUAAGUGCAUAAGUCUCAUUGGAUUAAGAUUUUAGGUUAUUUUGGUUUUUGAUAUGUUUCUAGGUCAUAUCUAGUCCAUUUUGUUUCUGAAUCAAUGUAGUUCGUCGAAUAAGUGCAUAAGUCUCAUUGGAUUAAGAUUUUAGGUUAUUUUGGUUUUUGAUAUGUUUCUAGGUCAUAUCUAGUCCAUUUUGUUUCUGAAUCAAUGUAGUUCGUCGAAUAAGUGCAUAAGUCUCAUUGGAUUAAGAUUUUAGGUUAUUUUGGUUUUUGAUAUGUUUCUAGGUCAUAUCUAGUCCAUUUUGUUUCUGAAUCAAUGUAGUUCGUCGAAUAAGUGCAUAAGUCUCAUUGGAUUAAGAUUUUAGGUUAUUUUGGUUUUUGAUAUGUUUCUAGGUCAUAUCUAGUCCAUUUUGUUUCUGAAUCAAUGUAGUUCGUCGAAUAAGUGCAUAAGUCUCAUUGGAUUAAGAUUUUAGGUUAUUUUGGUUUUUGAUAUGUUUCUAGGUCAUAUCUAGUCCAUUUUGUUUCUGAAUCAAUGUAGUUCGUCGAAUAAGUGCAUAAGUGUUACUAGAUUUUGAUUUUAGGUCAUUUUUUUUGUUGUUGCUAUAUUUCUUUCUGUCAAUUUUUGUUGUUGUUGUCCAUUUUAGUUGUUAAUCAAUGUAGUUUAACCUAUUAGUGCAAAAGUGUCACUUGAUUUAGAUUUUAGGACGUUUUGGUUUUUUAUAUGUUUCUUUUUUUUCCGUUUUAGUUAUUAUUCAUUUUAGGGUUUGGGAUUUAGGGUUUAAAAUUAAGGGUUAAGAGUCUAGCGUCUAGAGUUCGUCGAAUAAGUGCAUAAGUCUCAUUGGAUUAAGAUUUUAGGUUAUUUUGGUUUUUGAUAUGUUUCUUUUUGUCCAUUUUAGUUCUUAUUUAUUGUAGUUCGUCCAAUAAGUUGAAAAGUCAAAAUGCAUUAAUAUUUUAGGUCAUUUUCGUCUUUCAUAGGUUAAGGGAUUAGAGUCUAGGUUUUAGGAUUUAGGACUUCAGUGUUUGGUUUUAGGAUUUUGGUUUUUAAUUUUUGAUUUUUGGUUUUAGGGUUUAGGGUUUAGUGUAUAGGGUUUAGAGUUUACGGUUUAGGGUUCAGGGUUAAGGGUUUAGGGUUAAGGGUUUAGGGUUUAGGGUUUAGGGUUUAGGGUUUAGGG